Long non-coding RNA from Bubalus bubalis (water buffalo), 5158 nucleotides. RefSeq lists it as uncharacterized. The record is from RefSeq and is a predicted model, not a curated record. Lineage: Eukaryota; Metazoa; Chordata; Mammalia; Artiodactyla; Bovidae. The transcript is spliced from 4 exons.
CCCCUCUCCCAGUGGGGCUCGGAGCGGCGUACGGCGGGGAGGGGACAGGGCGAGAUGUUGGGUGGCGACCUGAGGCGGUGGGGACAGGUCAGGUAAAUCUGCGGGCAUCUGGGGACGGUAAAGUAGCGCGCCGCAGACCAGGCUGGGUGUUUCCUGGGGCCUCUGGCGCCGUUUUCUUUACAGGUAUCCGCACCCCUUUGUGCAGCGAGACGCCUGCACUGACACUUGCGCUUUCGGCUGUCGGCUUCGACAGCUUCGCGAUUUGGCUCUUUCCGGGGAGCCGUGGUGGGGCGUUUGCGGAUGCGCCUGGUUCAUGAGUCCCAGGACAUUACACUGGAAAGCUCGGACUGCAUGUAGAAGCUUUCUCCCCUUCUCUGUCCAUAGUGUUGGUGGGCAAUCUCCUAGACUCGCCCUUAGGCCCAUAGGCUCAGGACGACCCAUCACAAUCACACACGGACAUAAGCGCAUACACAGCCAAGUGUACUUUGGUGCCACACUCACACGUUUAUAUACAGACUUUGUUCCUCACUUUGUCCCAGUAGCAACUCUUCUUCCUCCAGAAGCUUUGAGAUGGAGAGACCGAUUUCUGAGCAUCGUUUUUCAGUGCUCCCUUGUCUCCAACCAGUCUGGCCUGUCUUGGAAGGAGUUUAAGAGGAACAGGCCCCAGCUGGGUGCUGAGUUGGGACUCUCUUCUGGGGUUUAAUGAGGCUUCACAGAGCCUGGGCUGGAGCUGAUUCCCCAGGCACCUGGGCACUCUCUAUCACACUCUGUUUUGGGACAAGAGAAAGAGACUCUUUGGGGCCAUUUCACAUCUCCCUCCCCACCUUCCCCAGGUAGGACUGGGGAAGAGCACUGACUCCAGCCGGCAGAGAGGAUGCCUGGCCCUCCUCUGUCCAUGAACCAGCUGAAGAAGCCUUUUGCCCUCUGUGCCUGGGAAAUGCAGCCCUUUCCUGAGAGCACGGUGGGGUGUUGAUGCUGGAAGAGCCAAGCGGCCGCCACAUUUUGCUUGCAGACUCAGUCCCAAGCUCAAGGCACUGUGAACAUCCCCACCCCAGUGUGCUCUCUAAAGUUUCUGGUCUUCCUGAAGUGUCCGAACCAAGGAGGCUGAGCUCCGGCUUUUAUCCACCCUGAUCCCCGGUUUGUCCGGACCAAUGUCAGACACGGCUGGAGGCCAAGGUCAAGUUGAAAGUUGCAGUCUAGCCAUGGUGAGAACUGCCCGGCAAGCCUGGAGACUCCGUACGCUUCUCAAGGAAUACCGCCCACCUCCCCUCACUCCUGAUUCCUUUUUCCUUUAGAAUUCUUCCUGUUUCUGGUUCCGUUUGGUUACCCAGCCAGACCCGGAAAAACGAAAACACUGCUCCGAGAGCCCCCACCAGCCGGCGCCUGUGCCAGCUCACCUCUGGUCAUGGCAUGGCGCAGCUGCCUGCCGGUGCACACCGCGGCCAAGGCCAGCUCCACAUUCUUCCCUCACUCUCCCCAAUUCGCCGGAGACCAAGCCCUGAAUGCAGAGGAAGGGCCCCAGCUCCACAGACUGCCAAAGCCAACUGGGUCCCUCCUCAUCAAAAAUGGUGAGACAAGAUUUCAUUUUGUCUGCUGAGGAGCCCCAAGCAGGUUUGUCUGGGAGGGACGGCACCGAGGGGAAGACUUUGGGUUGCAUCUCGAAUUAGGUUUUGCUACCCAAGCUUGGUGACCCCGCUAAGGAAGGGCUUCAGGCAGGCCUGAAUUAUUUAUUGCACUUUGAGGUGGAUCUUUAGUGAUCAGGUUAUGGGGAUAUUUUUUUUUUCUAAAUAUCUGUAUCAACUUUUGAAAACUCUUGAGAUGUGAUUACUUACAGGGAGGCAGCCUGCCUGUUUCCUUUUUGUCUUAGAUCUCAAUCUACAUGAAGUGAUUUUUCUACCAGACAACUUAGUGAUGUCCUGGCAUGCCUUCACUGUUUUUAAAAGUCUGCAGGUCCUGUUAGAUAUUGAGUUAUAUCUAGUGGAGAUGGUUUACAGAAUUUGGAUUAACUCUGUGAAUAAUUUUGGUUUUCCAGAAUUUCUUCUUACUUUGAAGAAAACCUCUUUCUCUCCCUCUUCUUGUCCAUUGCUGAGGGACCUAAGAGAUGCAUUAUAAGUUCCCAGUAUUGUUUCUUAGCCUCUUAGUCCUCCAGGCAGCCACUAAACCAGCUUGCUGGAAAAGGAAAGGUCGGAGGGCAGUGAAGAACUGGAGAGCCUUCUGGGAAGCAAGCACAGACUCUUUCCAAUGGCAAGGUCAAGACUCCCUUGCCUGCCCAGCUCUUGGGCCAGACCCUCUGAACUGUCCCUCUGCUUUUUGGGGGGGGGAGGGGGGGCAUCUACCAGGCUCAGAAAUUCCUGUGGGAUUGCGGGGAGAUGCCUCAACUUGAAUCCUGGCAAUGACAGUUUUUAUCUUCAGACCCUUUGUAGGCUAGGCUGGGAAGCCAUGGCACCCAUUGGGUUCUGUAAACAGCAGAUUCAUGGCCCAUUGAGCAAGAAGGUGGCAGAGUGGAGGUGGAUUUUGCCCUGUGCUCCCUGCUUUCCUUUAGAGGGGCCCUCAGUGGGCAGCAAUGGCAAGAUCAGAGGCCAGCAGCUUUUGUUCCAGAAGUUGUCAGAUCCUUUCUCUUACCAGCCCCUUGGCAGACAUGGCUUCAGACCUUCUAAGGCAGGCUGGGGUGCCCUGAGGGGUUUUGGUUGCUCUGGAGCCGAAGAAAAAUACCCUGGCUGGGUGUUAUUUUGGGGGAGGUGCGAUGGGGGGGACUCGCUGCCAGCCUGGGCCAUGAAGCCCUGGGUUCCCAGGGUUGGAAGAGAAGAGGACAAAGGGAAACCCAGGUUUUAAUCGAGUUUGAUUUUCACUAGCAAAUGAAAUUUACCUGCUCUCACUUUAACUUGGAGGAGGCUGUCAGCACUGCUCUCUGGCACUAUUUCUCUGCAUCCAUCCAGCAUUAGGAUAAACAUUCCUGGGUUGGUUUUAAAGACACUUUGUAUUUCAGGAUAUUCAUGUGUUUCUAAUGUAUCCAAGCAGCUUUACGAGCUGCAUUUGCAGAACAUCUUAACCCUCUCUCUCCCAGGGCACAAGGGAUAUGGGGCUCAGAGAUAAUGGCAAAGGAAGAAAGACCUAGAGAAUGGGAAAGGGCUGAGGAGCUGAGGCUAGCUAAGAGAGAAAGAGAGAAAAGGAAGAACACUUGAACAGGACAGUACUUCCAAUACUGUAGUCAACUGGACAUUUUGGGAUGCAGGUGAGGGACAACUUUGUUCAUGGUGGGUUUUGUGGAAGCUGAACUCUUCCUUAAGGAGAAAGGGUAGGUUUUCAAGAAAUUUGGGCCAAUGCUGGCCACUAGGCAAAGAAAUAGCAUGUCCUGAGUCACUUGCUCAAGCUUUAGGGUUUUUUUGUUUGUAUAUUUUGUUUGUUUGUUUGUUUUGUAUUUGACACAUGAAUAAGGCAGCACAAGGCCCAAGGUGAUAGGAACAGUGUCUGGCUGUGGGAAGUCACUUGGCAUUAUGGUGACCAAACGCUAACAUGGUGGAAAUGGAAGGGUGUGCAAGGUCCAAGAAAAUCCACCAAGACCCCUACUUUGUCUUGAAAAAUGCCCUCAUCCUGUGAAUUUUGAGGAGAGUAAGGUUUUGGAGGCAGCAGCUCUGCCUGGUGGGUUCUUUCUGGUACCAGACCUUCAAGGCCACCAGUGACCAGAGCGUCAGGAAGGACCCCACUUCCCGCACUGCCCUUUCCUAGUUCUCACAGAAAGUCCCUGAGCAGGGAGAGGGGCGCCAUCCCCGUUUUAGAACAAUUAGUCCUAAAUCUCCCAGGCUCCCUUGAGGACCCUCUGCACAGCGCCAGCCAGCCAGCGGCGCCCAGACUCCGCAAGAUUGGUGCAAACUUGGGAGUGAAGGUGGAGUUCUCGCCUCUGAGACCCGCCGCCUUCGGGCUCAGGAUGGGUGGAUGAUUCCGCCAGUGGCGGUGGCCUAGGUGACGAUGAGGUUGAGUGCUGCCUGCCCCCGACGCUGCCGCCGCUGCCCGGCUCUUGACUGGACCUGGAAACUCAGCCUCGGCUUAAAGGACCGAAGCCUGCGCUAGAAGCAGAGGGAACCCGGAGAAGCGCUCCUCGCAGGGAGGAAGCGCCUUUGCGCUGUCCUCAGCUGGCUGGCGGACUCCGGGACCCACGCCACCAGGGGAGUGAGCUCGCCGUCACCCCUCCGGGCCGCUGGGAGAGCGCAGAACGGCCGAGGAAUCCCGGGAGGUUGCGGCGGGCGUGAAAGAGGCGAGAGAUCUCCGUCCCGACGCUGUCCGUACGGCCCUGCCACAGCCCAAGAGAAGUCCCACCCGCCGGCCCCCACCCUCUUCCUCGCUCGAUGCUCGCUCAGGCCCCACAACAAAACAGGAAAUCGGCUCUUGCGGGGGGUGGGGGGGCUGUGGAUUCAUUAUGUCAACAAAUACACUGAAGACAUUCGAACGUUUGAAGGAAACAGGGGCUUGGACAGUAAACCUGGCCCCGCGGAGCCCCCAGCUUUCUCGCCGAGAAACCGAUGCAGACGACCAGCGGCCACGCGGCCUGGGCCCGCGGGAGUUCGUUCCUCCCCAAAGACUCCCAGGUCCCUGACCCGGGAUGCAAAUUCUUAACGCAGUCAACUAAGGGAUGAAACUCACUAUCGCGGCCACGAGAAAGGGGAACUCAGAACAGAGAGGUGUGAUCAGACUUUUACAGGCAAGUUAUAUGCGGUAAUCAUAAGGAUGCGUGUGCCUCAUAAGGCACUCACAGAUUCACGCAUCAGUGAACACGGACAUCCAAUGUCCUGUGGGUGAAACACAGGCAUCCUAUCAAGUCCUGAGGAAGAAUAGUUCACCCUGUCGGACCAGUCUGGUGACAUAUUUCGGGGUGGCUGGCGUCUCCCUACCUUUGCUGAUUUUUCCAUCCACUCACCAUUCCUUUACCCGCCGCCGUUUUCCAAAUACACCUGUCCCCAGGGGAAGGCAAGCCCCCGAUUGGCAUUUACCUGGUUUGAAUGUUCUCCCCAGAAACUCCGGCUGGCUCUGGGGGCCGCCCAAGCCAACCAAAAACGCCGACAUUUCUUGUGGCUCAGCCGCCGCUCCUUUGUCCCGCUGCUCUGGCUCCGCUCGGCCCAACGCUCAGGGAAACGAAGCAGCUCAAUAAAAACUUUUGAUAUUA